RNAcentral lists this ribosomal RNA (301 nucleotides) under uncultured bacterium. Its description in RNAcentral is "partial 16S ribosomal RNA". It matches the Rfam family "Bacterial small subunit ribosomal RNA", at positions 509 to 807 of the family's 1533-position model. The record is from RNAcentral.
CAGCCGCCGCGGUAAUACAGAGGGUGCGAGCGUUAAUCGGAUUUACUGGGCGUAAAGCGUGCGUAGGCGGCUUUUUAAGUCGGAUGUGAAAUCCCUGAGCUUAACUUAGGAAUUGCAUUCGAUACUGGGAAGCUAGAGUAUGGGAGAGGAUGGUAGAAUUCCAGGUGUAGCGGUGAAAUGCGUAGAGAUCUGGAGGAAUACCGAUGGCGAAGGCAGCCAUCUGGCCUAAUACUGACGCUCAUGCACGAAAGCGUGGGGAGCAAACAGGAUUAGAUACCCCGGUAGUCCCUGUCUCUUAUAC